RNAcentral lists this transfer RNA (72 nucleotides) under Hypoxylon rubiginosum. Its description in RNAcentral is "tRNA-Met". It matches the Rfam family "tRNA". From Rfam's summary of the family: Transfer RNA (tRNA) molecules are approximately 80 nucleotides in length. Their secondary structure includes four short double-helical elements and three loops (D, anti-codon, and T loops). Further hydrogen bonds mediate the characteristic L-shaped molecular structure. tRNAs have two regions of fundamental functional importance: the anti-codon, which is responsible for specific mRNA codon recognition, and the 3' end, to which the tRNAs corresponding amino acid is attached (by aminoacyl-tRNA synthetases). tRNAs cope with the degeneracy of the genetic code in two manners: having more than one tRNA (with a specific anti-codon) for a particular amino acid; and 'wobble' base-pairing, i.e. permitting non-standard base-pairing at the 3rd anti-codon position. The record is from RNAcentral. Lineage: Eukaryota; Fungi; Ascomycota; Sordariomycetes; Xylariales; Hypoxylaceae.
AGCUUCAUGGCGCAGUGGAAGCGCGCCGGGCUCAUAACCCGGAGGACCCCCGAUCGAAACGGAGUGAAGCUA